Malurus melanocephalus (red-backed fairy wren) is the source of this 902-nucleotide non-coding RNA. NCBI's taxonomy places the organism in Eukaryota, Metazoa, Chordata, Aves, Passeriformes, Maluridae. The record is from the annotation of a RefSeq genome assembly.
UCUGUGGGUGUCGGAAGAUCGCAAAUCCAGCGCUCUGUACCUCGCUCGGCCCCGGCGCGGGGACGCGGCCGUGUAUUACUGCGCGCUGAGUGACACGGGCACAAGAACCGCGGCUGCGGCCGGGCACGAACCGCCGCGGGCGGGGACAGCAGGGGACAGCAGGGGAAAACAGGGGACAGCAGGGGACAACAGGGGGCGAUGCCGAUCCCCCGAGAGCGGACCGGGAACAGCCCCUUCCCAUCACUGAGACCCCCGAGGCAGAGACCGCUCAGAACGCCAAUGGCUGAGGGAGCCACGGCAGCUGCUGCUGAACGAGGGACAAACCCAGAAGGAGCAUUUCAGGCACUGCAAGGACACGCCAUUUCUCUGUCCCCUCGCUGCYUCCUUYGCUGYCCCCAGGGAGCCGUUUCCGGCAGCUCCGUCGCCUCGGGGCUGGGAGGUGCUUUCUGGCUCUUCCUCACUCAGCGAACACGCAGCUUUGCUCUCGCCAUGCACCUCGCAUUUCUCAUCCUCACGCUCUUCCUGGGCCAGAUCCUGGGCACCACUGGGCAGACCACAGUCAUGCAGGAAGGUGGACCAGUCAUGGUGAAGCAGGGACAGCCCUUCCAAACCACCUGCAAAUACCAGAUCAGUGGUUUUAAUGCCUUGCUCUGGUACCAGCUGCGGAAAGGCCAAGCCCCAGAGCUGCUCUCCUAUCUGUCAGGGCCUGGCCCCAGGCACAGCGGCCGUUUCACCACGGAUCUGAACACCACGGGCAAAUACAGUGUCCUGCGGGUGGAGGAAGUGGAGGUCUCUGACAGUGCCUGCUACCUCUGUGCUGUGCAAGACACCCUGGUGCAGGGAGCUUCCUGAGCUGUGCAACAACCCAGGGGAGGGAGGGGAGGUGUCUGUGCCAGGCUGAG